GGGUCUCGGGUGGACUAGUGAUUAUGCCUCGAUGCUCUCACCACUGUGGCCCAGGUUCAAUUCCCGGCCCCUCG
Molecule: non-coding RNA, 74 nt
Organism: Pangasius djambal
Lineage: Eukaryota; Metazoa; Chordata; Actinopteri; Siluriformes; Pangasiidae
Source: the annotation of a GenBank genome assembly